AUUUCAAAUCUUGCACUUCUCUAUCCAUAGAGGCAAUUUUAUUCUUUAACUGCUCAAGAACUUCUUCAGCAAGAGAAGGGUUAAUCUCAUUUACAGGCUUUGUAAUUCCAGCUGCCUGCAAAUUGAUUGGUUUGAAUAAGUUUUUCCUCCUCUGUUUCCUGGAGCAGAUAAUUCAUUGUUAAUUGCCUAACUCUCUCUCUCUAAAAAUAUCGAUAUAUACUCCUCUGUCAAUAAGGCAAUAAGGGACUACUACCACCA
Long non-coding RNA from Cannabis sativa, 258 nucleotides. RefSeq lists it as uncharacterized. NCBI's taxonomy places the organism in Eukaryota, Viridiplantae, Streptophyta, Magnoliopsida, Rosales, Cannabaceae. The record is from RefSeq and is a predicted model, not a curated record. The transcript has 2 exons.